GUGGGACGAAACCUCUUUCCUUCUACUCCCAUUUUGAAGAAGUAUUCAGCAGCUGAGGCAAGCUUAGGAACCUCAGCAACUACCAUAGCCCGUAACCUAUUAGCAAGGAGUGAUAGUUCAUCAGCAACAAGUGAGAACGGAUCAAGUGGCUCCUCAAUCAAGGAACUGCUCUGGUGAUGAAUUUGCUGUUUGAAGCCAUGCAGGGCAGAAAAACUCCAAGAAAAAGUUUCUCUGCGAUUGAAGACCUUAUGAGUAGAGUCUCCAAGAAGUUGGGAACUAUUUGAUAUAAGAAACGGGUCUAAUUGACGAGAGAGAAACAAACGACGGCCGUUUCUCGAAAUCUGAGAGACACACCGCAAGAAUUGCAUCGCCGCCGGUCUUUCUUAGUGCAGCCCCCCAAGGGAAACAAACAGAUCGCGAGCGAGAGACUGUGUCAAAAAAUAAAUAAAUAAAUAAAAAUUAGUCUUUU
RNAcentral lists this unclassified non-coding RNA (469 nucleotides) under Hevea brasiliensis (rubber tree). Lineage: Eukaryota; Viridiplantae; Streptophyta; Magnoliopsida; Malpighiales; Euphorbiaceae. The record is from RNAcentral.